GGAGGAUGGCAGCAAAAAGGAAGAACCUGGUUAUAAGAAAGUAUUUUUCAAAGAAACCUACUCCGCCCCUCCCUGAUUAUGAACCAUAUACACCUGCGAAGUCCCGGAGGCCAAUAAGAGGGCCUACCAGCCGACAAACAAAAGGCCUGAGAGAGAAGCAGCAGUGAUGGCGAUCUAGAAGUGGCAGCUGACAGCCGCAAGCGGCGGCGGCGCCGGAGUUGGCGUCAGUGCGAGGCUGGGAGAGCUUGGCGUGGUGCGAGGCUGGGAGAGCUUGGCGUGAAGCGAGCCAGGAGGAUACAGCGCCGAUACGCAAGGACGCAGGGCGAGGUGUCCGACUGCUUCAGCAACUGGAGGCCAGAUUUCGCGUCUGCGGAAACUAGAGGCGGCGAGGCGGGCCGGUGCCGAUUGGCGAUUACAAAGAAGCAGCGGGCAGAGUUAAGAGCUCUGCCCACUCGGGGUAAGUCUUUUGACUUGUCCCCUUUAAUGAAUGAUAGCUGCCGAAAAGAGUAGUGACUGCCGCUGCCUUACUUCCUUUAGCGCACCGGGGCGCAGAACGCGAAGAGGAAGACGAGGACGCCGCCGGGUUUCCCUCCUGCACCGCUUCACUGGAUUUUUAAAUUUUUAGUGACUUUUAUACCGUGGCGAUCGCCACUGGACUUUUAAUCUUGUGUUUUAUUGAUGUUUAUGGUGUGUUCCCCCCUGGCCAGGGCUGUUUUAAUCUAUUUUACAUUUUUUUAACGGUUUAAAUGUAAUAAAUUAUAUUUUCUCUUUACAGUCUUUAAAUUUGUUGUGCAUUCCCUUGGCUGCCCCACUGCUCUGUCCGUUUUAGGAGGGUUUCUCUCUUUUUAAUAUCUGUGCAAAGAAACUCCUUCCCUCCCUCCGUUACAGUUACAAAAUGUCAUAAGAUGCUGCGUGGCUGUACAAGAUAGACUUUGGUUAGCAACAACUCUCUGAGGCCUUUACUAUGAAGCAGAAUGCUGUCUUUUCCGGCUAACUUCAAGGGUCAAGUUAUCUUUUGAACCUAAUCUGCUCCAGAGCAAUUUAUGUUCCAAAUGUGAGAUCAACAGGUACAAAAUCACCACCUACUAACCAGUAAGACCAAAAAGAACAAAAUAAAAUCACCAGUCCUGGAAGAUCCCUCAGACCACUGUGCGCAGAGAGUAGGAGGGUGUAAAAUUUUUCAGCAGAGUCUGAUGUCUUUGUCUUUCCAUGAUUAGCAACGAUAAUGAAUAUAGAUUCUCUACAACAACUUUACUGUUUUGGAAGUAUUAAUAUAUGAUCCUAAAGCAGGACACUUGCACUGUAAUUGAUGACCUCACAUCACAUGUUAAAAUUGCACUUUUACAUUUAACCUUUUAAUCAGACCAGCAAAAAGCUCAUACUCAAUUUUAGCAGCAGUCAUUGUGACACUGAUGAUAAAACUUGUGUAAAAUUGCAAAACUGUAAAAAAAAAGGCAUUUUUGUAGCUCAAUGUUUUAAAUUACAGUUAACUUCACUGCUUUGCUGUUUCACCUGUAACACAUUAAAAUAACAUGCUAAGGUUUAAUGAGCUAUAAGGAAUACACUCUGAGCCCUGAGCCCUGGGCAGUGUUGUGCUAAUAAGAGAAGUUUUGUGUGUGCAGUGAACCAGUAAGUUUUGUAUUUCAUAAUUUAUUGAUUUUCUAUUAUCCUUUCUGACCUGCGUUAAUGAAGCAGCCAUUAGAGCACCAUGUCUGCUCUAACAGUUUUGUAGUUUGAUGCUUGAGUUAUUGCAGACUAGUUGAAACUCCUGUCAAAGCAGCGUCUGUGUAAUUCGCGUCCAGCAGAUGGCAGUGUUUCACUGUCAAAUGAUGGCUGUCUGACGCUUCA
This is a long non-coding RNA of Oreochromis aureus, 1848 nucleotides long. The record is from Ensembl. Lineage: Eukaryota; Metazoa; Chordata; Actinopteri; Cichliformes; Cichlidae.